Molecule: long non-coding RNA, 1194 nt
Organism: Pantherophis guttatus
Lineage: Eukaryota; Metazoa; Chordata; Lepidosauria; Squamata; Colubridae
Source: RefSeq, a predicted model, not a curated record
AUGUCUAUAAACAAUUUCAAAGUGAGGAACAUAUUAACAGAAUAACAGAGUUGGAAGGGGCCUUGGAGGUCAUCUAGUCCAAUCCCCUGCUCAAGCAGGAGAGACCCUACACCAUUUCUGAUAAAGGGCAGUCCAGCCUCUUCUUGAAACCUUCCAUUGAUGAAACUGUUACGAGGAAUGGUGGAUCAGGCCCAAUAAAGAGACUUGAGUCAUCAAGUAAAAUAUCUCUCUUUUAUUUGCAGGUUCAUCAUAUCAUCACUUGAAUACAUUAGGAUCUGGAACAUGGAGGAGUGUGCCCACCUUUUAUACCUGUGGGCGGGGAUUCAGGAAUACUACCUGGAGCUGCUGUGACCACUCUAGGAUAUUACCCCCAUCCAUCCUCAACUUGGGAAAGUCAACAGGCGGAAGAGCGCAUGCGCGAAGUCCAUUUCAGCUUCGCCGUCGCUGUGGAAGGACCUGUUCAUCGCGGCUCCGCUGUAGAGGCUACUGCCGGUCGGGUAGGCCUCAGCUUCGGCCUUGGGGGUCCAGGUGUGCUCCGGAAGGCGUCGUCCAGCAGCUGCUUCUCCGGAAUGAAGAUCCUGGUGGUGCUGGGGCUCCGGCGAUGGCUGUUCAUCAUAUCAUCACUUGAAUACAUUAGGAUCUGGAACAUGGAGGAGUGUGCCCACCUUUUAUACCUGUGGGCGGGGAUUCAGAGUACUUGAAAUUUAUGCUGGAAAUGUGAGCCAACACGAAGGGGCGUAUUAUGUUUGAUGGCGAUGCAAGAAAACCAGCAAUUCUUGGAACCAAACCCACGCACUAAUUCAGAAGAUUUUUAAAGGCUUUAAAGAUUUUGAAGACUAACGUACAAUUGAAACCAGAGACUCUUUUGGGAGGCUGAGUGGAUGAUCAGCUGGAACAGAAAUCACAGAGGUUUUGUUUUGAUAUGUGACAAGUGCAGCAAGAUUGUUAUUCGCUUAAAAGUUAAAAGAUUCAGUACUGUCUACAAAGGAGGAAUGGUUGCUGUAUUAGUUGAUGAAAUUUGACUUAAUUUAAUUAAAGAAAAGACAGUGAUUUCCUUUGCUGCUGACUGGAAAAUCCUCAGGAACAUUUUGCAUGAAGCAGAAAAAAAGGGAUAUGAUUUGUGCCGUUAGAAAAUAUUAGGUAAUAAAAGAAAGGGUUUUUUUCUAAAGAGAUAAUUGUGUAACCACACAUAUU